CCCUCACAAGUCACAACAUACAGUAGACAUAUUUUACUUUUUACAAAAUGGUAGACAGCCGAAAACUCAAGUCAUGCAGCGAAAAGGUGCAGCAAUUAAAAAAUUAGUAGUUCGGAUCAUGUAUCUUUGCAUUUCUUGUAAGAUAUGGGCUACAUUAUAUACAUUGAGUGUAUGUAUAGAAUUUACCGAUGCACUAUCUAUUGUCUCUGUUGGAAUUCUGGCCUAUCAGAUAACAUGCACAAUCAUUUAUGUAUCAAAACCCUUGUGAACGCUUGCAGAAGAAACUGAAAGCGACCAAGAUCUGAACUCCGGAACGUUUUCGUUGCUUUCUCUAGUUCUGAAAUUUGGGACAUAUUGCAGUGGAGGGCGUCAAUAUGGAACCUGAAAAAUUGUAGCAGCAAAACAAAUUUGCGACUGAUGAUGCAUGUUAGUGCAAGCUCAGCGCUGGAUUGGUUCGGUACUUGAAGAGUGUUGCCAAAUCUUGGCGCACUCAUAGAGGCUGGGAUAGCAGGGCUAUUUCGACACUAGAUCUUCUUCCAGUGGUGGGGGCACCCGACCAUAUAUCAUUUCGCAUCUCAUGUCUUCAAAGUCUGAUAUGUUGUGGUGUCAGUGAGUAAGGUAAUCAUCAGCCAAGGCUAACUUAACUUCAGUUGCAAAAGGCAGGAAACUCGGUCUAGAGAAAGCAUGUAUUUCAGAGAACAAAUUUGUACUUCAUUUCGUUCUGUUGGCCUGCAUUAACUAAGCACUCAAGUGGACUUACUUGGAUUCAUGGUGAGGGGAAGGCCGAACUCGUCGGUGAAGAAGCUCUGUGUGGGGAUCUUUCACAUGUUGACGCACAUCCCAACGCGCCCGCUGUUCUCCAAGUACCUGCAUGAAUUGCGAUGACGUGACUGUGGCAUCAAAUCAAAGGUUUCCUCACAUUUCCUGUAUUUCAUACUGUACCUGCAUUUCUUUAUGAGCAAUCCACUCCUCUGCUUCACCCCGUCAACCUCUACCUCGAUAACCUGCUUAAUCAACAACACGCGUCGUGAUGAUAAACAAUGCAAUAAUCGCAAGUCAUUACACGAAAAUCUUGUGACGGGCCACAUGUGCUAUAACAUUCUUUUUACAAAUUAUAAAGUGAGUGCGAUAAUUGAGAAGCUAGAAUGCAUACUUGGUGGCAGCGGUGGAGCUUACUGUAUUGCUCGGGAGGGAGUGCCCCAAUGCAUACUUUGUGGCAUUGGCAAAGCUUAGUGUAUUGCUGGGGGGGGGGCUGUGCCCCCCUCCCCCCAAACUUUGGACACUUGUUUGUAGAAAUAUUAAGUAGAGGGCCUAGCUGAAAGAAAAAAAUAGUAUUUUGCCCCCUCAAACGCUCCUAUUUUGUGCCCCCUCUAGGAAUUCUGGUGUAGCUCCGCCACUGCUUAGCGGGACUGAUGCACAUGAGCAAGACGGGCUUCUUGUCAUGCCGGCCUACCGCCCUAAAAACCCUGAAGAGCACCGUGGUUUUCUCUGUAGGAAAUAUACAGAAAACCCAUUAUACAAUGGGGUAAAUAUAAAAUGUUACAUGGCUAUAUAAAUAGUACUCUAACACCUCCGCCCCCUCAAACUCAUGGUGGAUUACUAGCACUGAGUUUAGAGAGAUAGAAGCCAUGGUGCGCUCUAGUGUGGUCCUUCAUAAAGAAAUCGGCCAACUAUAACUUGGAAGGCACAUACUAAAGAGCAAUAAACUGAUCCUACACACCAACGCACACAUAAAAACCGUCAACACCAAUAUGCUUGGUGAGCUCAUGCUUCACAGAUCACAGGGUCACGCAUAAUGCUAAUAGCACAUGUACUGUCAGACAAUAGCAAAGUAGGUGUAGUAACAGAAACACCAAAAUCCUGAAGUAACCACCGUAACCAAAUCAUCUCUGUCGUCAAAAGAGUCGUAGCUCACAACUCAGCCUCUGCACUCGAAUGAGAAACAACAGUCUGUUUCUUUUUCUUCCGCACAAUGAGAGAACCAUCAAGAAAAACACAUUAAGCAAAAAGUGAACGACAAUCCAAGGGAUCACUAACCCAUGUAGCAUCCGAAUAGGACUGAAGUUGUAAUGAACUGGAGUGAGGAAAGAACGGACAAUGAGAAAUCAUGCCAUGAAGAUAUCGGAGAACACGAAGGAGGUGACUAAAGUGAACCAAACUCGGAGUAGAGACAAACUGACUCAAAAUAUGGAUUGGAUAAGAGAUAUCUGGACGAGUGAAGAAGAAGACAAGCGGGCGGCGUCACACACGAGCAGUUCAAGCGCCAAGCGGAUCGAGCGAAUCAAGGCGACCCAAUGCGGGCGGAAGCAAGUGGAUCGGGGCAGCAACGGCCAACUAAGAACGGCAGGGCGGUUAGCGGCAAUCGCGAGACUUGCUGAUGUCCGUACAACAAAUUAGCAGCAACAAUCGGCUGGAGAGAGAGGAGGAGCGGUAGCCGACUCCUACCACACCACCCCGACAUCCGCCUCGACCGCUGGCGGUACCGCCUCAGUCAAGCGGAACUGGAAGCCGCCUACAGGGAGUUCGACAAGGCGGUGGAUGAGGUGUGGGGUAAGAGCGACAACGGGGAGGACAUCGCCAGCUCCGCCCCGACCGCGCCCCACUGCCAGGACCACGAAGUCGGCACAUCCGCGGGGGCUGCCGCCAACAAGGAAGAGUAGUACAUGGUAGGUCGCCGCCGCUCAGGUCCCAGGAAGGCCACCGUUGUUCCCCUCCCGUUGAAGCCAAGCUUGGUGGGCUGGACAUUGUUGGCCGAUUAGGUCUAAGAUUAGUUUUUCAAAAUGAGAAUCACAAGUUGGCAAGCCUGAGAGAAUUUUGCCAUACUUUUUAAGUGUAUGUGAUGUGGGAUUCUAGUGUGACCUUCCUAAGAUGUGGCUUGAACCAAACAUACAUCUAAGUUGAUCAAAUUUGCCUAACCUUAGAUGUGGCAACCUUUGACAACCCAAACAACCCCGUGGUUGGCAAGAAUGUUGAUAAGAGAGGCACGGAGCAGGGUUUUCUGACAGGGCGAGUAUUAACGUCCAAUGAAUAAACGAACCAAAUACCAGGGGUGGAGGCAGGGGACCCUCCCCAACAUCCUCUAUUUCCAUGUGUUUGAAUGUGAAGAUAGACAAUUGCUUCAUGCUCCCCUCACAAGUCACAACAUACAGUAGACAUAUUUUACUCUUUACAAAAUGAUAGAUAGCCGAAAACUCUAGUCAUGCAGCGAAAAGGUGCAGCAAUUACAAAAUUAGUAGUUCGGAUCAUGUAUCUUUGCAUUUCCUGUAAGAUAUGGACUACAUUAUAUACAUUGAGUGUAUAUAUAAAAUUUACCAAUGCACUAUCUAUUGUCCCUGUUGGAACUCUGGCCUAUCGGAUACCAUGCACAAUCAUUUAUGUAUCAAAACCCUUGUGAGCGCUUGCAGAAGAAACUGAAAGCGACCAAGAUCUGAACUCCGGAAUGUUUUCGGCGCUUUCUCUAG
This 3461-nucleotide long non-coding RNA is filed under the name Triticum aestivum (bread wheat). RNAcentral describes it as "long non-coding RNA (TAES_LNC014876)". Lineage: Eukaryota; Viridiplantae; Streptophyta; Magnoliopsida; Poales; Poaceae. The record is from RNAcentral.